CGCUGCUGGCUCUCCUGCUGUGCGGCUCCACAGCUCCGGGACACGCCGAGAGGGUUUGUCACUGCAGCGGAAAGUCCCUCUGCCACUGUGACGGCAUCAAAGGCCAAAAGCCGACAGUCCUGAGGUCAGCUGCAGUCUGACGGUCUCAGGUGAUUCAGGUGUCGGACCACCCAGGGGAGAACUCUGUGAUCUCAGGGGGAACCUGGUUACCUCGGAUACGCGGGACUUCCUGGUGUGAUUGGUUACCCUGGAAACGAGGGCAAUUCGGGUCCACAUGGAGAAAAGGGUGAUCAGGGAGCAGCUGGAG
Acanthochromis polyacanthus (spiny chromis) is the source of this 307-nucleotide long non-coding RNA. RefSeq lists it as uncharacterized. The transcript has 5 exons. The record is from RefSeq and is a predicted model, not a curated record. Lineage: Eukaryota; Metazoa; Chordata; Actinopteri; Pomacentridae.